AUGGACGGCGGCUCCGGCUCCUCCUUCCAGGCCGUAGCGGCGGCCGCCGCCAUGGAGAUGGAGGAGUACCUCAACUGGAAGAAGAACGCGCCGGUGCUCUACGACCUCGUCAUGUCCCACCCGCUCGAGUGGCCCUCGCUCACCGUCCAGUGGCUCCCCUCGGGGUCGCCGGCCUCCGCCCGCUCCCACCGCCUCGUCCUCGGCACCCACGCCUCCGACGACUCCGCCAACCACCUCAUGCUCGUCGACGCCGUGCUCCCGCUCCCGCCGCGCCUGGCCGCCGCGGCCGCCGCCGAGGACCGCGCCGUCCCGGCCCCGUCCGUGUCCAUCGGCCGCUCGGCGCCGCAUCAGGGCGAGGUCAACCGCGCCCGGUGCAUGCCGCAGCGGCCGUACACCGUGGCCACCAAGACCUGCGUCGAUGAGGUGCACGUGUACCACCUCGGGGAGGACGGUGAGAAGGGCGGCGCGGAUGUCGUGCUCAGGGGCCAUGGCGCGGAGGGGUAUGGGCUGGCGUGGAGCGCCACGAAGGAGGGGUUCCUGCUGAGCGGCUCGUAUGAUAAGAAGAUUUGCCUGUGGGAUCUCAAGGCCGGGAAUGGAGCCCCGGUUCUGGACGCGCAGCAGGUGUUUGAGGCUCAUGAGGAUGUUGUUGAAGAUGUUGCUUGGCACCUUAAGGAUGAAAACCUAUUUGGAUCUGUUGGCGAUGACUGCAAGUUCAUGAUGUGGGACCUGCGUACGAACAAACCAGAACAAUCUAUAGUUGCGCACCAAAAGGAAGUUAACUCUCUGUCCUUCAAUCCAUUUAAUGAAUGGAUCUUGGCUACAGCAUCUGGUGAUGGAACUAUUAAGCUGUUUGACCAGCGAAAACUAUCUAGAAGCUUGCAUGCUUUCGACAACCAUGAGGGCGAGGUUUUCCAGGUUGAGUGGAAUCCAAACAUGGAGACUGUAUUAGCAUCCCAUGCUGCAGACAAAAGGGUGAUGAUAUGGGACGUUAGCAGGAUCGGCGAGGAGCAGGCGGACGAGGACGCGGGCGACGGGCCACCGGAGCUGCUUUUCGUCCACGGCGGGCACACGGCCAAGAUCUCGGAGCUGUCGUGGAACCCCAGCGAGAAGUGGGUGGUGGCCAGCGUGGCGGAGGACAACGUGCUGCAGAUCUGGGAGAUGGCCGAGAGCAUAUACAGCGACGACAACAGCAACAACGCCAACAGCGCCUCGUGCCUGUCCACAUAA
Molecule: ribosomal RNA, 1227 nt
Filed under: Triticum aestivum (bread wheat)
Lineage: Eukaryota; Viridiplantae; Streptophyta; Magnoliopsida; Poales; Poaceae
Description: partial small subunit ribosomal RNA
Source: RNAcentral